AUAAAUAUAUCCCAAAUAUAAGGUUAUAAGAUAAUCAGCAUGACACUAAAAAUUGCAAUAUAUAUUAAUUCCAAAGGUUUGAUAUCUCUAAAAUUAUACAAUGCUUGUAAGAAAAAAGGUAAAUGUUCCGAGAGAAGAAUGAGUAAAAUACAUGUCACUGAAAGCGAAAUAUGGAUAGCAUAUAUAUAUAAAGAUGUUCUACCACACUAAUAAUAAAACAAAUACAAAUAAAACAAAAUAUUGGAGUUCCUAUUGUGGCUCAGGGAGUUAAGCUCCCAGUGUUGUUUCUGUGAGGAUGCGGGUUCGAUCCCUGGCCUCACUCAGUGGAUUAAGGAUCUGGUAUUGCCACAAGCUGUGGCAUAGGUCAUAGAGGCGGCUCAGAUCUGGUGUUGCUGUGGCUGUGGUGUAGGCUGGCAGCUGCAGCUCUGAUUCGACCCCUAGCCUGGGAAGUUCCAUAUGCCAUAGGUACAGCGCGGCCAUAAAAAGAAAAAAAAAAAAACAAAAACAAAAACAAAAAAAUAUAUAUAUAUCAAUUUUUUAACUUACCAGACUGAUAAAGACUUAGAAAACUAAAGCUACCCAGUGUGGGAGCACAGGAUUUCUCAAGCUCUCCUGGGAAUGUAAAUGGGUACAACUUUUCUUGAACGUAAUAGAAUAGCACGUGCCAAAGUGUCACAUGGACACACAUCUCUGAGGCAGAGACAUCAUCUCUAAGGCACAAAGAUGUGAGCAAGGACUUCCAGUACACCACUGUUUGUAACAGAGAAUACACUGAAAACAGGAGCAUGUCUGUGCAAAAAAAAAAAGAAAAAGAAAAGAAAGAAACUACAACAAGCAUAUAGAGAAAUCAUUAAAAAGGAUAUCGUAUAGCUAUAUUGUUAGACGUUCUGUCUUGAAAAAAGGUUGGAACACUCGAAAUACAAUAUGAACUCAUUUAUGUGAAAUUUUAUAUACAUCAUCAUCAUCAUCAGAAAAGGUCAGGUGAGGAACAGCAGGCACACAAAUGACAACAGCAGUAUUUACUGGCAGUCAAGGGAUUUUUACUUUUCUUAUACUUUUCCAUAUUAUUUCAAUUCUCAAUAAUAGGUAUAUAUUAUCUGUAUAUAUUAAAGCACACUGACAUGGGUCUUUUCUGCUACAACAGAUAUUUCUUUAAUGUAAAUUAGUUCACAUGCAACAAAGUGGAAAGUCUCAUUCGCUGCCUUUAAGAUUCUCCACUAUCGUAAGUGACCAAAGGAAGCUGAGAGUACAGAUGAAGAAAUGCAAAAUAUUUCCCCUUGUGUUUAAAAGAAAACAAAAAAGAAAACACCCUGGAUGAGAUUUUUAACUUUGAUGAAAUCGGUCUGGGUUAGAAGUGGAUGACUUUAAGGACCCAUAACUUAAAGGAAGAAAACUAGAGUUUAAGGCUAAGUGCGAGGGGUGGAUGUAAAGGCCAGUGAAGAUUUAACCAUGUUGGUGUUUUUAUAACAAUUAUCAUUUUUUGAUACUGACUCUGUUUACACAAUUUGACUGGUUUUAAACCAUCUGUUCCUAACCCUAUUUGCCCUAGAAGCACUAUCACUUUUAGCAUAUGAUUUUGCAGAAUUAAAGAUUUUUCAGGAAUGCAAACACAGCAGUUAGAGAGAAAUGUCUCUGCUAUUUCUGAGUAAAAUGCAAAAAGGUAGAGGAACAUUCUCUAUGUAAAAAAUGAAAAAAAGAAAAGAAAUAUUAAACUUUACUUGGCUUCAGCAAUAGUUUCUAAUCAAAGAUGUGAAACACUGGGCAAAACAACCUCAAUAUUCUUGAUUUACACCACACGUUUAUAUACACAGAGAGAGAAAGAGAAAUGGUCCUUGUCCCACUAGACACUUAAUCUAAACAAGACAGAAGAUUAAACAGGUAUCCACUGUGGUGAAUGGAGGGAUUAAUUCGGUUAACCUUUUUUAAGUGAAACAAACAGGAGAGAGAUUUAUUUUCUUUCUCACAUUAAAAAAUUCUGGGCGUCCCCACUGCAGCUCAACGCGAUUGGUGGUAUCUCUGGAGCGCAGGGACACAGGUUCGAUCACUGGCCCAGCACAGUAGCUUAAGGACCUGAGGCAGGCAUUAGCUCCCAGCUUUCCUUAGGAUCUGAUCCCUGGCCUGGGAAGUCCACAUGCUGCAAGGUGGCCAAAAAAAGAAAAUUUGUUUUAAAUUCUGAACGUAGGCAGUUCAAACUCACCCUGUAUUGCCCACCAUGGUAGUUCACCCAUCAUUUUUCUUUUUUUUAAUAACUAUUGUAAUAAGGUAUGACUGACAUACCAAAAGCUAUACAUAUUUAAUAUAUACAACUUGAUGCGUGCGAAGUAUAAACUAUGAAACCAUGACCACAAUACAGUCCAUCAACACAUCAGACACCUCCAAAAGUUUCCUUGCACCCUCUUUUAACCCUGUUAAUUUUUGAACAUAGUAUUUAAUUACAUAACCUCAACUGGGGUAGGCAAAGGGGAAAUGCAAAUAAGGAAAACCGUUGUGAAACUGUUUUA
Molecule: long non-coding RNA, 2501 nt
Filed under: Sus scrofa (pig)
Lineage: Eukaryota; Metazoa; Chordata; Mammalia; Artiodactyla; Suidae
Description: lncRNA (ENSSSCG00015001863.1)
Source: RNAcentral